RNAcentral lists this ribosomal RNA (526 nucleotides) under uncultured Actinomycetes bacterium. RNAcentral's name for it is "bacterial SSU rRNA". It matches the Rfam family "Bacterial small subunit ribosomal RNA", at positions 8 to 522 of the family's 1533-position model. Lineage: Bacteria; Bacillati; Actinomycetota; Actinomycetes. The record is from RNAcentral.
AGAGUUUGAUCCUGGCUCAGGACGAACGCUGGCGGCGCGCUUAACACAUGCAAGUCGAGCGAGAACCGGUCCUUCGGGACCGGGGAAAGCGGCGAACGGGUAAGUAACACGUGGGUAAUCAACCCUCGGUACCGGGAUAGCCCGAGGAAACUCGGAUUAAUACCGGAUGGCCCAACAGCUCUUCGGGGCGGUUGGAAAAGGUAGCUUCGGCCUCCGACCGAGGACGAGCCCGCGGCGGAUUAGCUUGUUGGUGGGGUAACGGCCCACCAAGGCGACGAUCCGUAGCUGGUCUGAGAGGACGAUCAGCCACACUGGGACUGAGACACGGCCCAGACUCCUACGGGAGGCAACAGUGGGGAAUCUUGCACAAUGGGCGAAAGCCUGAUGCAGCGACGCCGCGUGAGGGAAGAAGGCUUUCGGGUUGUAAACCUCUUUCAGGAGGGACGAAGCUACUCGGGUUAAUAGCCCAGAGGGUGACGGUACCUCCAGAAGAAGCCCGGCUAACUACGUGCCAGCAGCCGCGGUA